UCGGGAAUUUUGGGCAAUGGGGGAAACCCUGACCCAGCAACGCCGCGUGAAGGAUGAAGUAUUUCGGUAUGUAAACUUCGAAAGAAUAGGAAGAAUAAAUGACGGUACUAUUUAUAAGGUCCGGCUAACUACGUGCCAGCAGCCGCGGUAAUACGUAGGGACCAAGCGUUGUUCGGAUUUACUGGGCGUAAAGGGCGCGUAGGCGGCAUGACAAGUCACUUGUGAAAUCUCUGGGCUUAACCCAGAACGGCCAAGUGAUACUGUCGCGCUAGAGUGCAGAAGGGGCAAUCGGAAUUCUUGGUGUAGCGGUGAAAUGCGUAGAUAUGUGGAGGAAUACCGAUGGCGAAGGCAGCCCCCUGGGAUAACACUGACGCUCAUGCACGAAAGCGUGGGGAGCAAACAGGAUUAGAUACCCUUGUAGUCCCUGAGCGGGCUGGCAAGGCGCAU
This 447-nucleotide ribosomal RNA is filed under the name uncultured bacterium. RNAcentral describes it as "bacterial SSU rRNA". It matches the Rfam family "Bacterial small subunit ribosomal RNA", at positions 355 to 825 of the family's 1533-position model. The record is from RNAcentral.